Molecule: long non-coding RNA, 764 nt
Organism: Gymnodraco acuticeps
Lineage: Eukaryota; Metazoa; Chordata; Actinopteri; Perciformes; Bathydraconidae
Exons: 2
Source: RefSeq, a predicted model, not a curated record
GCCCACUUCCUCUGCGCCUGGUGAAGAGACUGCAGGAUGAAAGACAGAAGAGAGAAGAGGCCAUGAUUGAUAGGAUUGUGCAUGUCUGUGCAGCACUAAUGAACUUGUCUGGCAGUGUCAUGUACAACCGUUACAGAAUCUGAGAGUCCCUGAACUUAUCUCAGUGCUGCUCUGCUGCUGCACACCCUGUCACCCUGCCUCUGAUGCCUGUCACCCUGCCUCUGAUGCCUGUCACCCUGCCUCUGAUGUCUGUCACCCUGCCUCUGAUGCCUGUCACCCUGCCUCUGAUGCCUGUCACCCUGCCUCUGAUGCCUGUCACCCUGCCUCUGAUGCCUGACGCUCUACCUCUGAUGCCUGACGCUCUGCCUCUGUUGCCUGAUGUUCUGCUGCCACUUGUGUUGCCUGAUGGAUCACUCCCUGUGCUACUUUCGACUGGACUGUGUUCUGCCUACUUAGCAGAAACAUAUACAGUGCUUAUCAUAAAUGAGUACACCCCCUUUGAAAAGAACACAAGAACAAUUUGAUCAACAAUAUUAACAAUUAUUAUCUGAUUAGUAUCAAAGUCACAAGUAUAGACAAUAUUGUACAGCCCAUUUGAUUCAUUCUAUUUGUAGCCUAUGUAUGUUUUCAUGUUGUAAAUAAAUGUAUAGGCUUUGUGAUAUUUGAUUUUGUACAUAUAGUCUAGUAGUCUAUGUUGAUACUGAAUGAAAUAGCUAUAAUAUGCUUCAAAAUGAAUUGGUAUAAAUAAAUAUGUAACUCUGUCA